RNAcentral lists this ribosomal RNA (253 nucleotides) under uncultured bacterium. Its description in RNAcentral is "partial 16S ribosomal RNA". It matches the Rfam family "Bacterial small subunit ribosomal RNA", at positions 524 to 776 of the family's 1533-position model. The record is from RNAcentral.
UACGGAGGGAGCUAGCGUUGUUCGGAAUUACUGGGCGUAAAGCGCACGUAGGCGGCGAUUCAAGUCAGAGGUGAAAGCCCGGGGCUCAACCCCGGAACUGCCUUUGAAACUAGAUUGCUAGAAUCCUGGAGAGGUGAGUGGAAUUCCGAGUGUAGAGGUGAAAUUCGUAGAUAUUCGGAAGAACACCAGUGGCGAAGGCGGCUCACUGGCCCGGUACUGACACUGAGAUGCGAAAGCGUGGGGAGCAAACAGG